ACUCCUACGGGAGGCAGCAGUGGGGAAUAUUGCACAAUGGGCGCAAGCCUGAUGCAGCCAUGCCGCGUGUGUGAAGAAGGCCUUCGGGUUGUAAAGCACUUUCAGUCGUGAGGAAGGUGGUGUAGUUAAUAGCUGCAUCAUUUGACGUUAGCGACAGAAGAAGCACCGGCUAACUCCGUGCCAGCAGCCGCGGUAAUACGGAGGGUGCGAGCGUUAAUCGGAAUUACUGGGCGUAAAGCGCAUGCAGGUGGUUUGUUAAGUCAGAUGUGAAAGCCCGGGGCUCAACCUCGGAAUAGCAUUUGAAACUGGCAGACUAGAGUACUGGUAGAGGGGGUAGAAUUUCAGGUGUAGCGGUGAAAUGCGUAGAGAUCUGAAGGAAUACCGGUGGCGAACGGCGGCCCCCGAUGGACAGAUACUGACACUCAGAUGCGAAAGCGUGGGAGCAAACAGGAUUAGAUACCCCGUGGUAGGACAGUG
This 477-nucleotide ribosomal RNA is filed under the name uncultured bacterium. RNAcentral's name for it is "bacterial SSU rRNA". It matches the Rfam family "Bacterial small subunit ribosomal RNA", at positions 335 to 799 of the family's 1533-position model. The record is from RNAcentral.